AUUGAACGCUGGCGGCAGGCCUAACACAUGCAAGUCGAGCGGAUGAAGGGAGCUUGCUCCUGGAUUCAGCGGCGGACGGGUGAGUAAUGCCUAGGAAUCUGCCUGGUCGUGGGGGAUAACGUCCGUACACGGGCGCUAAUACCGCAUACGUCCUGAGGGAGAACGUGGGGGAUCUUCGGACCUCACGCUAUCAGCUGACCCUAGGUCGGAUUAGCUAGUUGGUGGGGUAAAGGCCUACCAAGGCGACGAUCCGUAACUGGGCUGAGAGGAUGAUCAGUCACACUGGAACUGAGACACGGUCCAGACUCCUACGGGAGGCAGCAGUGGGGAAUAUUGGGCAAUGGGCGAAAGCCUGACCCAGCCAUGCCGCGUGAGUGAAGAAGGUCUUCGGAUUGUAAAGCACUUUAAGUUGGGAGGAAGGGCAGUAAGUGAAUACCUUGCUGUUUUGACGUUACCAACAGAAUAAGCACCGGCUAACUUCGUG
RNAcentral lists this ribosomal RNA (484 nucleotides) under uncultured bacterium. RNAcentral's name for it is "partial 16S ribosomal RNA". It matches the Rfam family "Bacterial small subunit ribosomal RNA", at positions 30 to 507 of the family's 1533-position model. The record is from RNAcentral.